AGGUGCCAUACGUUCUGGAAGAAUUUCUAGGUACACUGGUUCCAUUGGGUGUGCUGGAUUCUCUUCCUGAAUUGGUGGUCUCCU
RNAcentral lists this microRNA precursor (84 nucleotides) under Merkel cell polyomavirus. RNAcentral describes it as "microRNA mcpv-mir-P1 precursor". Its record names the gene mcpv-mir-P1. The record is from miRBase by way of RNAcentral. Lineage: Floreoviria; Shotokuvirae; Cossaviricota; Papovaviricetes; Sepolyvirales; Polyomaviridae.